RNAcentral lists this long non-coding RNA (209 nucleotides) under Erythranthe guttata (spotted monkey flower). Its description in RNAcentral is "long non-coding RNA (EGUT_LNC002826)". Lineage: Eukaryota; Viridiplantae; Streptophyta; Magnoliopsida; Lamiales; Phrymaceae. The record is from RNAcentral.
CCAGCUCCAGGGCUGGGGCCAGAUUUCUUGAUUCCACCUAGGGUUAAAGCAUGCCCAUCUCCACCAUGGCUCGGCCCCCCGGUUUUCACCCCCUCGACGUACAAAUCCUCCAAAAUUUUCACAAUAUCCAUUUCAAUGGCGGACUUGUGAUUUUGCUGAUAAUUAGCAUCCGAUUUCAAUACACGAGCUUCAACAGAGAAGAAUAAACA